GAAAAAUCUGAAGUCUGAAUCAUAAGUUAACAGUAUAGGGCUCAUAAUAUGUCCAUCUCAACAAUGGGUUCUGGGAAUUAAGGAUCCAUACAAAUUAAGCUCAUCAGCCUAGAACAGUGGCUCUUAAAGUAUGGUCCUCAGAUCAGCAGCAUCCACUCUCCAGGAUUUCAAACAGCAGUAAAGAGAAGCAAUCAAAAACAUAAAAUGUAUCUGCUAUUUUAAGAAGAGGGAAAAGAGAAAAAAUAAUCUACCUCAGCCAAUUCAUUCUAUAGAAUUUGUUGAAAACAGACCAAUCAAAUUGCUGUUGUCAAUACUACUAGCCAAAGAUUAUUUGUCUUAUGGAAUAUUUCAGUAAUGGAAUUUUAUGUAUAUACUUGUUUUUGAAAUAAUCAAAAUACAUGUGCAUAUCCAUUUCAAAUUCACUUAGAUUACUCUUAAAAACUGUUUGAUAAACAAGUAGACACCAAAAAAGAGCUUUGGGGAGAAAGGUGCCUUUUUUUUUUUAUUACUUUCUAUAGACAGUGAUGGUAGCAUCGUAUA
Non-coding RNA from Ictidomys tridecemlineatus (thirteen-lined ground squirrel), 540 nucleotides. Lineage: Eukaryota; Metazoa; Chordata; Mammalia; Rodentia; Sciuridae. The record is from RefSeq and is a predicted model, not a curated record.